This 65-nucleotide transfer RNA is filed under the name Stenotoxodera porioni. RNAcentral's name for it is "tRNA-Ile". The record is from RNAcentral. Lineage: Eukaryota; Metazoa; Arthropoda; Insecta; Mantodea; Toxoderidae.
GGUAAAAUGCCUGAAUAAAGGGUUAUCGUGAUAGGAUAAAUAAUGUAAUUUGAUUACUUUUACUA